UGGGUUUGACAUACACCAUGCCGCUGCAGAGAUGUGGCUUCUUUUGGUGGUGUACAGGUGGUGCAUGGCUGUCGUCAGCUCGUGUCGUGAGAUGUUGGGUUAAGUCCCGCAACGAGCGCAACCCUCGUCCUGUGUUGCCAGCAUUUGGUUGGGGACUCAUGGGAGACUGCCGGGGUCAACUCGGAGGAAGGUGGGGAUGACGUAAAGGAACACCAAC
Molecule: unclassified non-coding RNA, 217 nt
Filed under: uncultured Propionibacteriales bacterium
Lineage: Bacteria; Bacillati; Actinomycetota; Actinomycetes; Propionibacteriales
Description: contains 16S-23S intergenic spacer region
Rfam family: Bacterial small subunit ribosomal RNA
Source: RNAcentral